Long non-coding RNA from Zingiber officinale, 321 nucleotides. RefSeq lists it as uncharacterized. The record is from RefSeq and is a predicted model, not a curated record. The transcript is spliced from 3 exons. NCBI's taxonomy places the organism in Eukaryota, Viridiplantae, Streptophyta, Magnoliopsida, Zingiberales, Zingiberaceae.
GACCUUCAAGGGGACGCAAAGGCAAAGCAACCCUCCAAAAUAAGAUUUCUUCUAUCUUUUGCACAGAGUGCCAGGGUACUGGUGUGGCUAUCCAAGGAGAAGAGCUUGAAAAACCAACAAUUCCCUUGUCUGAGAUGUUCCUAUAUAAACUGAAAGCAAUCGAAGCUAACAAGGCAUGGAUGAAGCAUCCUGAAAUUCUUCAGAAAUGCUCCACUGGACUUCAUUUCCCAUCUGAGCGUGUCAGCAAUUGUGACGAAAACGUGAAGCCUCUAAAGCUGCUGCAUUUCUUUCGGGUUGAUGGGUUGGAGAAAGCCCAAUAUA